GUGGGGAAUAUUGGACAAUGGGGGGAACCCUGAUCCAGCCAUGCCGCGUGUGUGAAGAAGGCCUUUUGGUUGUAAAGCACUUUAAGCGAGGAGGAGGCUACCGAGAUUAAUACUCUUGGAUAGUGGACGUUACUCGCAGAAUAAGCACCGGCUAACUCUGUGCCAGCAGCCGCGGUAAUACAGAGGGUGCAAGCGUUAAUCGGAUUUACUGGGCGUAAAGCGCGCGUAGGUGGACAAUUAAGUCAAAUGUGAAAUCCCCGAGCUUAACUUGGGAAUUGCAUUCGAUACUGGUUGGCUAGAGUAUGGGAGAGGAUGGUAGAAUUCCAGGUGUAGCGGUGAAAUGCGUAGAGAUCUGGAGGAAUACCGAUGGCGAAGGCAGCCAUCUGGCCUAAUACUGACACUGAGGUGCGAAAGCAUGGGGAGCAAACAGGAUUAGAUACCCCAGUAGUCC
This 451-nucleotide ribosomal RNA is filed under the name uncultured bacterium. Its description in RNAcentral is "partial 16S ribosomal RNA". It matches the Rfam family "Bacterial small subunit ribosomal RNA", at positions 354 to 796 of the family's 1533-position model. The record is from RNAcentral.